This 253-nucleotide ribosomal RNA is filed under the name uncultured bacterium. RNAcentral's name for it is "partial 16S ribosomal RNA". It matches the Rfam family "Bacterial small subunit ribosomal RNA", at positions 524 to 776 of the family's 1533-position model. RNAcentral also lists the same sequence under 1 other name. The record is from RNAcentral.
GACGUAGGGCGCAAGCGUUGUCCGGAUUUAUUGGGCGUAAAGAGCUCGUAGGCGGCCUGUCGCGUCGAUCGUGAAAGUCCACGGCUCAACUGUGGGAUUGCGGUCGAUACGGGCAGGCUAGAGUGCGGCAGGGGAGACUGGAAUUCCUGGUGUAGCGGUGAAAUGCGCAGAUAUCAGGAGGAACACCGGUGGCGAAGGCGGGUCUCUGGGCCGUUACUGACGCUGAGGAGCGAAAGCGUGGGGAGCGAACAGG